This is a long non-coding RNA of Pelmatolapia mariae (spotted tilapia), 804 nucleotides long. RefSeq lists it as uncharacterized. The record is from RefSeq and is a predicted model, not a curated record. The transcript has 3 exons. NCBI's taxonomy places the organism in Eukaryota, Metazoa, Chordata, Actinopteri, Cichliformes, Cichlidae.
UCCUCAGAAGGGAGAGAGAGAUUUAUGGAGUCCGACGGCAGCAGGGAGAGAAAAAAAAGGACAAAGGUGCCGAUGAAUAUGGGGUUAGCAAGUGGUUUCCAGUGUAACAGUUAUUUAAAGUAAAGGUACAGUAAAGAUGAGAGGCUCUACAAAGCAUCUCGGGUUUAACCCUUAGGAAAUCUGAAACACAAUAUUCAAAAAAGACAGGCAUCCAUUUAGAUUUUUCCCAAACAAAACUCCAGGCUGCAGCUCAGAGCAGAAAAUAUUUGGGUUGGUCCACUUAUAGACGGUAACCGAUCACACCUGCAUUCCUGGGAGAAGGGAGCUGCCAACAGACAUUCUCCUGUUGCCCCCCUCGCACCCCUUCUCCAAUUUUCUCUCCCCUUGUUACCUUGUCUCCCUCUUCUGCGUUCCUCUCCUUCUGUUGCUCCCCUUUCUAUAUGAGUGUGUCUGGGUCCGGCUGGAGAGGCUUUGUCUGUGAACAUUGGAGCCCUGACUGGCCCACGGGGGCCCGAUCCAUGAAUACCCACACUGUGAGAGCCACUCUUUCACUUCACACCACUUUCUCUACUGGAAUGCCUGAGCAGUGAGGAACGAAGGAAUAAAAGGAGGACCAAGUACAUUUAACCAAAGACUGAAAGCAGCCUGAAACCGGAGCUUGAUGUCCUGACGGCUGGGAUGGCAAAGAAAAGGGCCACUUGUCUUUCUGUGUGUGUCUGUUCAUAGAUCAGCAUGCCGACUGCUGUCAAACACAAACAACAAGCCACUCCAAUGAUGGAGGAGGGAAAAAAAAUCUCAUAUAUC